GGAUUCUGGGUGAGAUUGCUGCUCUAUACACGCUAAAAGUAGUGAUUAUUUACAUGGAGUCUGGUGGGUUUGGUGAUGGUGAUUUCUGUUUCAUGUUUAACUAAAAGGAUCUUACUCUUUAACUAAAAGGUCUAUCUCUGUUGGGAUCCUUUCCAUAAUUUUUGUCAGACACCUAAAUAAUAAUCUGAGUCCAAUAACACAACUUUUUUUUGUCCACAUCAGUCACUUAGAUGUCAGCGCGUGGUUAAACAGCGUCCAGGUUGAAAACACAAAACAAAAUUACCUUUUAAUCUUCCCCUGGGGCAAAUCAUGGCAUAAAUGGAUUAGAGGUUUUACUAACGCACAGCUGCACAAGGACGACCCCGCCUAACAAAAAAAGUAAAGAUUUGCACUGGCACAGAACUAGAAAAGCAAUAUGUUACAGCAUCUGAGGUCAAAAACUUCUCGAUUAAGAUCAGAUUGUCAGGGUAUUAUUUUGGUUUCUCGGGUUAUUACGUCAUGCUGUUGUGUAACACUUUGAACUGUAUCCGCAUGCCGAGCCACACACGUAAGAAAACACACUGCUGCGCCUUCAAAUAUCUCACCUGUGCCCGCUGAACAUGCGUAUUUCCAUCAAGAAAUGUUUACAUACCGACACGUUGCUCAGGUUAGGGUGGACGUCGGAUCAGUGGACCGUGAGCUAGAUGAAUUUUCCCAUCAGUUGCUGUUAAUUUAGCAUUUUAAAAUCAGAGUAGUAGGUCAAUUGUGUUUUCAUUCAAGCUGUGAGCUAAGAUUUAUGUGAAGUAUUAACUAGUGUGAUUAGAGAAACUGAGACGUGAGCAGAAAUUAUCUUUCUUUUCAGUUUAUUUUUUGGGAUAGCAUGCUGCGGGACUGAAGCUCGUGGUUGGGUCUGACGCCUUAGAGGUUCUCUACUCCAAGCGUUUCUACGCCGUAGGUACAUGUCAGCCUGACCUCCAAAGAAAUGUCUCUACACGCUGCAGCGACGUGAUUGGUCCGCUCGGCCCACGGGGGUCAGCCUCUCCUCUCCUAGCGUAGCUCCCAUGGCGCCUUUUUAAUGCUAACAAGCCAUCCCAGUCAGGGAGAGGGUUCACUACCGUGGUCGGAUAUCUCGGGACGUGUUUCAGAGAGAUGAGGCGUCCUGUUCUCUUAACCCUCGUGUUGUCUUCCCAUCAAGAUUGAAAAUCAACACUUUUGUUUUUUUUGCUUUUUAUCAAACUUUUUCAACGUUUUUGUCCCUUUUUUCAACGUUUGUCCCUUUUUUUGACGUUUUCAACGAUACGUAACACUAACUUCUUAACUUUUUAGUUUUACAGUUAUUUUUGGAAUUUAUGGUCAAUAAACCUCAUUUAUAGGAAAUUAUACCUAAUGUUUGAGUUAGAAAAGCAGAAAUUAGGAAUCAUUGAGACUAAAAUUAAAGGAAUGGAUGUAUGAUAAUCACAGUAAUGGAAUAUGUCACUUUUACCUCAACACUAUUUAAACACACUUCCAUUUGUUUACAAUGCUAUAAAAUAGAAUAAACCCAAAAUAAGAGAGAUUUGUACUUGGCAAAAGAGACGUUGGUGGAUUCAUCAUGUUAUUUUGGGGAAUUAAAAAGAACAUUGAUAUAGGAACAAACUGAGACAACUGAUUGACAACAUGAGGACAACAUGAGGACAACAUGAGGGUUAACAUAGUGGAACAGUUUUACCUGCAUGGUUGUGUAUUUGCGGGUCCGGCGUGCCUGGAGCCGUCUGAUUUUUCCUUCUUUCUCCUUUUUUCGGCCACGCCCCGAUCCUUCAAUCAUCCCUGCAGUGCGUGUUGUUCACUGAUCCCAGAAACCAAGGAAAGCACACCUCUCACAGUGGAAUGACUUCACGUUACACAGCUGUCUGCAAGUUAUUCCCACGUCAAAACAGACGAAACUUAAAGUCCUAUGCAUGAAAUGUCUUGUGGUUCAAGAUAUGAAUAUAAAUAUAUAUAUAUAUAAACUUUGUAAGAAUGUAAGUCCAUCAAUGUUUACACUUCUUGCCCAUUACAUUCCUGUUGAUACUUUAUAUACAAGAGGCCAUUUUCUGCAUGACUCUGGUGUAAUCUGAAUGAACUGACAGCCUCCACGGGAUUGGCUGAUAAUCGCAAAUUAAAAAAAUGAAACUCUUAUAAUGUAAACAAGAGCCCGACCGAUACAGGAUUUUAAGGCCGAUACCGAUACGAAUAUUUGGUUAUUUAAAAGUCUGAUAUGCCGAUAUACACAAAAAAUCCAGGAACGGGCCUGACUCAGUUUAAAAACUGGUUUUCCGCAGGUUCCUGUUCUGCAGGAACAUAAAACAUGGGACAGCACGUCGGGACGGACGUUCGUACAGGACAUCGAUACGGACUAGACAAAUUUGGACAAUUAAGACAACAAUACAGUUACAUAAGGACAAAGACAUUUAUACAAGACAUCAGUUGGGCUAGACAGAUACAGACCAGAUUCAGAUCCGAGGAUGGAGAACGCUCCUGGGGGUCAGAUGAGAGAGGAACAAAUAACCGACGGAUGGUUUUGGAAGACUUGUUUGCUAGAAACAGUUCGCUAAACUCUGCAGAUUCUCAUCGUAGAUCCCAGCUGGAAGCUGCAUGAAACUGGUCUGCAGAUUCAGUCUGGGUCUGCAGAUAAUCCACCAAGCACAUCAUCGGAAGACUCUGGAAUCCGACUCUCGGCUGCAGAGACGGAGAUGAAUCUUUCUGUCCAUUCAGACGUCUUUGGUGUCUUACCUAGCGGUAGCAUGUUGGGCUACUUCACGCUACAGAUGAUGAUUAUCAUAAUACUCAAUAGUUAGAAAAGAAAAGCUAAACCCAUGACUGUCUUCAGCUUGAUUCUGCCGGUUCGUUGAAUGUUUUCUUGCUUUGUCUCUGUAUUUGUACAUAGAUGGUAGUGCAUGCACUGGGGAAACUAAUGUCUGUUUGCAAAGAACUUUGCAUGUAAAGAUUUUGCAGAGAGUUUACACGGAAUCAAUAAAAUCGAAUGAAAACUGACAAA
This is a long non-coding RNA of Etheostoma spectabile (orangethroat darter), 2995 nucleotides long. RefSeq lists it as uncharacterized. The record is from RefSeq and is a predicted model, not a curated record. Lineage: Eukaryota; Metazoa; Chordata; Actinopteri; Perciformes; Percidae. The transcript has 2 exons.